Molecule: ribosomal RNA, 555 nt
Filed under: Pseudomonas savastanoi pv. glycinea
Lineage: Bacteria; Pseudomonadati; Pseudomonadota; Gammaproteobacteria; Pseudomonadales; Pseudomonadaceae
Description: bacterial SSU rRNA
Rfam family: Bacterial small subunit ribosomal RNA
Source: RNAcentral
GCUAUACCGCAUACGUCCUACGGGAGAAGCAGGGGACCUUCGGGCCUUGCGCUAUCAGAUGAGCCUAGGUCGGAUUAGCUAGUUGGUGAGGUAAUGGCUCACCAAGGCGACGAUCCGUAACUGGUCUGAGAGGAUGAUCAGUCACACUGGAACUGAGACACGGUCCAGACUCCUACGGGAGGCAGCAGUGGGGAAUAUUGGACAAUGGGCGAAAGCCUGAUCCAGCCAUGCCGCGUGUGUGAAGAAGGUCUUCGGAUUGUAAAGCACUUUAAGUUGGGAGGAAGGGCAGUAAGUUAAUACCUUGCUGUUUUGACGUUACCGACAGAAUAAGCACCGGCUAACUCUGUGCCAGCAGCCGCGGUAAUACAGAGGGUGCAAGCGUUAAUCGGAAUUACUGGGCGUAAAGCGCGCGUAGGUGGUUCGUUAAGUUGGAUGUGAAAGCCCCGGGCUCAACCUGGGAACUGCAUCCAAAACUGGCGAGCUAGAGUACGGUAGAGGGUGGUGGAAUUUCCUGUGUAGCGGUGAAAUGCGUAGAUAUAGGAAGGAACACCAGUG